UACGGGGGGGGCAAGCGUUGUUCGGAAUUACUGGGCGUAAAGGGCUCGUAGGUGGCCAACUAAGUCAGACGUGAAAUCCCUCGGCUUAACCGGGGAACUGCGUCUGAUACUGGAUGGCUUGAGUUCGGGAGAGGGAUGCGGAAUUCCAGGUGUAGCGGUGAAAUGCGCAGAUAUCGGGAAGAACACCCGUGGCGAAGGCGGUUCUCUGGAACGGUACUGACGCUGAGACGCGAAAGCGUGGGGAGCGAACAGG
Molecule: ribosomal RNA, 253 nt
Filed under: uncultured bacterium
Lineage: Bacteria
Description: partial 16S ribosomal RNA
Rfam family: Bacterial small subunit ribosomal RNA
Source: RNAcentral